RNAcentral lists this ribosomal RNA (492 nucleotides) under uncultured bacterium. Its description in RNAcentral is "partial 16S ribosomal RNA". It matches the Rfam family "Bacterial small subunit ribosomal RNA", at positions 29 to 507 of the family's 1533-position model. The record is from RNAcentral.
AGUGAACGCUGGCGGUAGGCCUAACACAUGCAAGUCGAACGGCAGCGCAGUAAGAGCUUGCUCUUACGGGUGGCGAGUGGCGGACGGGUGAGGAAUACAUCGGAAUCUACUUUUUCGUGGGGGAUAACGUAGGGAAACUUACGCUAAUACCGCAUACGACCUACGGGUGAAAGCAGGGGAUCUUCGGACCUUGCGCGAUUGAAUGAGCCGAUGUCGGAUUAGCUAGUUGGCGGGGUAAAGGCCCACCAAGGCGACGAUCCGUAGCUGGUCUGAGAGGAUGAUCAGCCACACUGGAACUGAGACACGGUCCAGACUCCUACGGGAGGCAGCAGUGGGGAAUAUUGGACAAUGGGCGCAAGCCUGAUCCAGCCAUACCGCGUGGGUGAAGAAGGCCUUCGGGUUGUAAAGCCCUUUUGUUGGGAAAGAAAAGCAGCAGGUUAAUACCCCGCUGUUCUGGCGGUACCCAAAGAAUAAGCACCGGCUAACUUCGUG